UACGGAGGUGGCGAGCGUUGUUCGGAAUCACUGGGCUUAAAGCGCGUGUAGGCGGGACGGCAAGUGUCGGGUGAAAGCCCUCGGCUCAACCGAGGAAGUGCUUGGCAAACUGCCGCCCUUGAGGCAUGCAGAGGUCACUGGAACGACGGGUGGAGCGGUGAAAUGCGUAGAUAUCCGUUGGAACGCCGGCGGCGAAAGCGAGUGACUGGGCAUGUCCUGACGCUGAGACGCGAAAGCGUGGGUAGCAAACAGG
Molecule: ribosomal RNA, 253 nt
Filed under: uncultured bacterium
Lineage: Bacteria
Description: partial 16S ribosomal RNA
Rfam family: Bacterial small subunit ribosomal RNA
Source: RNAcentral